GGGGGCGAAACGGUUUCGACGGGGAUAAGGAAGCUUAAGCUGCAUACCGAGGUUCCAUCACCCUCGUAAAACAGAUGGGCUAAAACAAACGCAGACGAUUAUGCGUACGCCUUAGCCGCAUAAAGACGGCUAACGUCCUUUCGGUCAGUCCUGCGGGGCCGAAAAGGGCGUCGACUCAGCAGGAUAGCCGCUUCGACAGACCUGUGGGUCGAAGGGGCGAAACUUAUCACAGGGUAGUUCCCUGGCGACCUCGCCCGAUAGGGAACCAGGGAGCGAAAAAUCAGUAUCGGGCUAUGUAUGUAGAGGCUUAAGUGGAAUAUUUCCGGACCCGGGUUCGACUCCCGGCGCCUCCACCA
RNAcentral lists this transfer-messenger RNA (356 nucleotides) under Deltaproteobacteria bacterium. It matches the Rfam family "transfer-messenger RNA". Rfam says of the family: Bacterial tmRNA, also known as 10Sa RNA or SsrA, is named for its dual tRNA and mRNA-like properties. Its role is to liberate the mRNA from a stalled ribosome. RNAcentral also lists the same sequence under 1 other name. The record is from RNAcentral. Lineage: Bacteria; Pseudomonadati; Myxococcota; Myxococcia.